This 1120-nucleotide long non-coding RNA is filed under the name Zea mays. Its description in RNAcentral is "long non-coding RNA (ZMAY_LNC002381)". The record is from RNAcentral. Lineage: Eukaryota; Viridiplantae; Streptophyta; Magnoliopsida; Poales; Poaceae.
CCGGUCGCAGCCCUGCGCCCGUCGUCGUCGUCGGCCUUCCUUGGCCACUCUAGCCGCCUCGGCCGCACUGCUACCGCGUCGCCGACGAGGCGGAGCCUCAAGGCGGAGGCCAAGGGCGAGUGGCUCCCGGGCCUUCCCUCCCCCGCCUACCUCGACGGCAGGUCAGUAGUGUUUCUUUUCCUGAUUAACUCUGGCCAGCGACGCCGACUGACGCACCCAUGGCCAUGUCAGCCUGCCGGGUGACAAUGGCUUCGACCCGUUGGGCCUGGCGGAGGACCCGGAGAACCUGAGGUGGUACGUGCAGGCGGAGCUGGUGAACGGGCGGUGGGCGAUGCUGGGCGUGGCCGGGAUGCUGAUCCCGGAGGUGCUGACCAAGGCCGGGCUGAUCAACGCGCCGCAGUGGUACGACGCCGGCAAGUCGGAGUACUUCGCGUCGUCGUCGACGCUGUUCGUGAUCGAGUUCAUCCUGUUUCACUACGUGGAGAUCCGGCGGUGGCAGGACAUCAAGAACCCCGGCAGCGUCAACCAGGACCCCAUCUUCAAGAGCUACAGCCUGCCGCCGCACGAGUGCGGCUACCCCGGCAGCGUCUUCAACCCGCUCAACUUCGCGCCCACGCUCGAGGCCAAGGAGAAGGAGCUCGCCAACGGUGAGUUGCAUUGCAUUGCACCAUCUCAUCUCACCGCCGCCGGUCGUCGUCGGCCACUUCCGAUCCUUCUCUGACGUUAUUAAUUCUGCAGGGAGGCUGGCCAUGCUGGCGUUCCUGGCCUUCCUGAUCCAGCACAACGUCACCGGCAAGGGGCCCUUCGACAACCUGCUGCAGCACCUGUCCGACCCAUGGCACAACACCAUCAUCCAGACCCUGUCGGGUUGAGUCGACGGUCCAUCAGGUCAUGUGGUCCGAGCUGAAAGGCCGAGACUCGAAGACAGUUCGUGUGAUGCGUUCUUAAUCGACUGAGGGCUAAGGAAUGUGACGUACUGGUAUAUGUACAUUAGUUGAAGCGGAGGCUAUAAAGGGUGUAGAGAUUGUUUCAUCAGUGUAUAUCAUCUGUCCCGAUGGGUUUUGUUUUGUGCUUUUCACGAUUCAUUGUGGAAGCACAUGUAUUAUUAGUACAAGAACUG